Molecule: long non-coding RNA, 2345 nt
Organism: Cephus cinctus (wheat stem sawfly)
Lineage: Eukaryota; Metazoa; Arthropoda; Insecta; Hymenoptera; Cephidae
Exons: 4
Source: RefSeq, a predicted model, not a curated record
CAUGAGGCAUAAUUCUAAAAAUACAAGAAAUAUCGUUGAUAAUUAUUUUAAAUCUCGGUGGCCCACUCGAAUGAAACACGCCUUCCGAUUGGCUCUGAGUCACUCGCUCGAGCCAAUCGAAGACAGGGACACGCAAACCGGCGUCAUCUUUUAUUUUGUUGACGCAACUUUAAAGCUAAUUUUAGCGCGCAACCCCCGUCCGUUCUGGAUCGCCCUCAAUGAUUUCGCAUUUCUGCAAAAUGCCAAGAAUCACUGCGGCAUUGCAUACCGUUACGGAUCUACUUUAUAUACCAGCAAAAUUUAACUUCUAUUUUCAGGUAUCCCACGGCAAAUUGAAUCUACAUUUUUACACUCUUCUGGUAAUUCCAUACCGACUGUCGAUACAAUGAAUUUUCCGUUGUACCUUCAGACAUUUUCUUUCUUUACUAUACGACUAACCCUAAUAAGGACAGUCAUACUGCAAACUAUCGCAAAUGAUACGUAUCUUCCAUAAACAUCUAACAGAUGGCAUCACGAUCCCGACAAUGAAUUCAUUUAACACCGCGCAGAAGCGUCUCGAACGAACCGGAGUCUAAUAAUUUCAAGUUCUCGAGACGGAACCCGCCCACGUCGUCUGCCCUUUGCAAUAAGGAAAGAGCCGCAAGAGAAAAUCAAGUAAAACGAUUGGUCGGGCGGUAACGCGUCUCGGCGCCCACGACGCCUAGUGACGCAAGAGUCCCGGAUUCGCGGUCGCUAUAUUUAGGCUGCCCGGGCCGGGCCGUUUUUAGUCGGGAAACAGGUGGACAUCCAACCCCAUGAAUCGCUUCAAGUCGGUUGACUUUGACCGAUUUUCAACUUACCCGCGCAAAAUUCGCGCCCUUAUUUAUUGUUUCAUUCUUAACAACCCAACGUCUACACAACGGAUCCUGAGAAUUCGAAGAUUUAAAGCUACCUGAAUUAACCGGAUCGGAAUUGUUUUCUUGAUCUUGAAGAAGAAUCGAUCAAGAGAACAGCGAAAGAAGAAAAAAAAAUAAGAAUUCGAUCAUCAUUUUGGAAAAGGAAUGUUAUUCCUAAGAAUCGACGGGAAUUUUCGUUGUUACAUGAGGAUUGAUAAGGAAGGGUUAAUGGCGAGCGAAUUUCCGGUGGACUUGAGAAUAAAUCCGUCUGUUUACGACACAUCGUCUGAUGACGUCAGGACGCCCCGGUCAUACGUCACAUGGCGAAAAUACGAUUUAGCCGUGCGCAAAAAAAUAAGUAUCGCCAGCGCGAGUUCUCAACGGACGCCGUGGAUGAAAAAUACUUGGAACAGUCGAUAUCUUCGGAUCUUGACAUGGUAAUGAGGCUUGAGACGUUGAAAGAGAUAAGUAUCACUUAAGAUCGACUAAUCCCAAAAAGGGCACGAGUCCGGCGACUCGGUGUCUCGCAUUACUACACGACGAUAUCGACGUCCGCUAGAAAGGUGAUCUUUCCGAUUUGGCACUACUUAUUCAAAGCAACCCCAGUACGCUAACUCGUAUACCCGGUGUGCUAAAUGCAAGGCUAUUUUUAUUUCUGUAUUCUCGUCCUCGCUCGUCUGUAUAGAUAGUAUUUAUUUUAAAUUCGGCCACGGCCAAACGGUGCGAGAUUCCGAGAUGCUACGACCACUUUUCACUCCGAUGACUCUUGACUUUAAGCUACGUGCACACGUAACCGUUACACGGUAUACAAAUAUAUGUAAACCCAUAUACAAUUUCCAUCUAGACCUUCCCGUUCCGUCGUAACUGAAACACGCGAUACUCAGAAAUCUGUGAGUCUGAUCGAAGGAUCCUUCAAAAGUUCCACUCGUCCUAACCCUCCUCAUUGAUACCCGCUGAAAUUCCAAUUUGGAAUCCCAUCCAAUUUUCGCGAUACUUUCACGAGCCUGUCCAUCCAAGUGUCUUCUCGGUGGUUCACGUGGUACUUCCAAGAUUUCAGCGCUUGACCCAGUUCUCAGCUUGGAUUCUCAGUCUCGUUUCAAAAUUAGACGUCCAACGAGCACCCGCAUAGCGUCGUCCAGAAGUACAAAGUAUCUACAGGGUGGUCAUAGCUAACACGGAUACCAGUCUCAUUUUGUCCAUCGCAGGUAAUCAUUCUGGUCGUGACGUGUUUGUGUACACAGGGUGAGGAUGAGAAAGUUUGCCAGAGUUUAAAGCCAGGAUUAAAAAUGGCGAAAGUCGUCACGACGCGGAGGCGACGGUAAAAAUGUAGCCAAUACGUGAAUGGGCGUUUGUGGUUAUAAUUGAACAGCGUGACGUUACGUACUGCGUAUUGGAUGGAAUCAUACGUCUGCUAUAGGAAAUGGUGUAACUUGUUAUGUACUGUCGGAUAAAUAAAUUCUUCGCUCGUGA